AGCAGUAUGGUGUAUGGUGCACACGGGGUAUUAUUACUGUCCCGGUAGCCUCUCAGAUAGUUUACCUCGAGGUCCUUGUUCGAGUCAAGGUACUGUUA
Molecule: non-coding RNA, 98 nt
Organism: Mycena rebaudengoi
Lineage: Eukaryota; Fungi; Basidiomycota; Agaricomycetes; Agaricales; Mycenaceae
Source: the annotation of a GenBank genome assembly